UAGAUACCCUGGUAGUCCACGCAGUAAACGAUGAUAACUGGGCGUAUGCGAUAUACAGUAUGCUCCUAAGCGAAAGCGUUAAGUUAUCCACCUAAGGAGUACGCCGGCAACGGUGAAACUCAAAAGAAUUGACAGGGGCCCGCACAAGCAGAGGAACAUGUGGUUUAAUUCGAUGAUACGCGAAGAACCUUACCCGGGAUUGAAAUGUAGAUGACCGCCGGUGAAAGUCGGCUUUCCUUCAGGACAUCUA
This 250-nucleotide ribosomal RNA is filed under the name uncultured bacterium. RNAcentral's name for it is "partial 16S ribosomal RNA". It matches the Rfam family "Bacterial small subunit ribosomal RNA", at positions 779 to 1032 of the family's 1533-position model. The record is from RNAcentral.